This 24-nucleotide non-coding RNA is filed under the name Callithrix jacchus (white-tufted-ear marmoset). The record is from RNAcentral. Lineage: Eukaryota; Metazoa; Chordata; Mammalia; Primates; Cebidae. RNAcentral also lists the same sequence under 4 other names.
UGAGGGGCAGAGAGCGAGACUUUU